GACGUAGGGCGCGAGCGUUGUCCGGAAUCACUGGGCGUAAAGGGCGCGUAGGCGGUUUGCUAAGCGUGCGGUGAAAGCUCGGAGCUCAACUCCGCGUCGGCCGUGCGAACUGGUGAACUGGAGCACUGUAGAGGCAGGUGGAAUUCCGGGUGUAGCGGUGGAAUGCGUAGAGAUCCGGAAGAACACCGGUGGCGAAGGCGGCCUGCUGGGCAGUAGCUGACGCUGAGGCGCGACAGCGUGGGGAGCAAACAGG
Molecule: ribosomal RNA, 253 nt
Filed under: uncultured bacterium
Lineage: Bacteria
Description: partial 16S ribosomal RNA
Rfam family: Bacterial small subunit ribosomal RNA
Source: RNAcentral